GACCGUGCCAGUGGCCUAGUGGUUAGAGCAUCCACCUUGGAUAUGGGAUGUCAAGGUUUAAAUCCUAGCUGAGUCA
This is a non-coding RNA of Potamilus streckersoni, 76 nucleotides long. Lineage: Eukaryota; Metazoa; Mollusca; Bivalvia; Unionida; Unionidae. The record is from the annotation of a GenBank genome assembly.